AGGCGAAUGGAAGAAAAACGUGGAGGUCGUCGUCUGUUGUGGUAGCCACCGCGCCACCCCGCAGGUCCUGGCCUUUCAGAUUAGGCCCGCUGCCCAGGGAAAUUGUAGUAACAUUUUCCAGGUGGUACGGAAUCCUCUAAGUCCAAUUCCCAAACUUUGCACUACAGCCAAUAGGAAUGAUCAUGGCUGCCAACAACCAAAGAAUUCAGAUUGGAGAUGACAAACCAUGAACGCAAAGAUGUACUAUGGUCUACCAGGAAUAUUAUCGAAAAGAAUAAGGGGGUAGGAGGUGGCAAGAAUAUCUCCACGGUCCGUUUUCUUCCUUUCCUUCUUCCCAGUAUGUUCCUUUUUGAAGUUUAAUGUCACGGUGCAACAAUGUUGCACGUGGUAAGGCAUUCCCACUAAAGGCACGCAGUGAACUGAACUAGGACACCUACUGCAAGUUACUGGAGAAAACAAAACCUCCUCAGAAUCCUGGUGUCUUUGGGAGAAAGUCACCCCUAUGAAACAUCCACAGGCGCUCCUGCCCCAAAAUAUUCGCCCGCCCCCAACGUCUCCCCUUACUCUCCGCCCCGUAAGUACUGCUCACCGACUCCAAAAAGAUCAAGGCGCGGCAGGCGGAUGAAGCUAGCGCGGCUCACGCCGCGGCCGGGCCGGAGCCCCGGCGUGGGCCAGGCGAG
Non-coding RNA from Leptonychotes weddellii (Weddell seal), 680 nucleotides. NCBI's taxonomy places the organism in Eukaryota, Metazoa, Chordata, Mammalia, Carnivora, Phocidae. The record is from RefSeq and is a predicted model, not a curated record.